Molecule: ribosomal RNA, 461 nt
Filed under: uncultured bacterium
Lineage: Bacteria
Description: partial 16S ribosomal RNA
Rfam family: Bacterial small subunit ribosomal RNA
Source: RNAcentral
CCUACGGGAGGCAGCAGUGAGGAAUAUUGGUCAAUGGGCGCAAGCCUGAACCAGCCAAGUCGCGUGAGGGAUGACGGUCCUAUGGAUUGUAAACCUCUUUUGUCGGGGAGCAAGGCCCGCCACGUGUGGCGGGAAGGAGAGUACCCGAAGAAAAAGCAUCGGCUAACUCCGUGCCAGCAGCCGCGGUAAUACGGAGGAUGCGCGCGUUAGCCGGAUUUAUUGGGUUUAAGGGGUGCGUAGACGGCGGCGCAAGUCUGGCGUGAAAUGCCGGGGCCCAACCCCGGAACGGCACUGGAGAAUGGGAGGCUGGAGUGGAGGAGAGGUAAGCGGAAGUCCUGGUGUAGCGGUGAAAUGCGUAGAUAUCAGGAGGAACACCGGCGGCGAAGGCGGCUUACUGGACUGUAACUGACGUUGAGGCACGAAGGCGUGGGGAGCAAACAGGAUUAGAUACCCUUGUAGUC